GUGGGUUGCUCCAGAAGUAGGUAGUCUAACCUCGGGAGGCGCUUACCACGGUGUGGUCGAUGACUGGGGUGAAGUCGUAACAAGGUAGCCGUAGGUGAACCUGCAGAAGGAUCA
Molecule: ribosomal RNA, 114 nt
Filed under: uncultured eukaryote
Lineage: Eukaryota
Description: partial small subunit ribosomal RNA
Rfam family: Bacterial small subunit ribosomal RNA
Source: RNAcentral